RNAcentral lists this microRNA precursor (104 nucleotides) under Marmota monax (woodchuck). The record is from RNAcentral. Lineage: Eukaryota; Metazoa; Chordata; Mammalia; Rodentia; Sciuridae.
AUAGGAAUCAAUCAGACUUCCUGUUAAAAUGCAGUUUCUGAUUCAGUAGCCUGGGGUGGGGCCUGGGAUUUUGCAUUUCUAACACACUCCCUGUUGCUGCAGUG